UUUUGGACGUCAGGGUGGAUAGAACAAUCCCCUUCUCUUUGGUCUUUCCCCCUUUUUUACUUUCGUCAGUUGUUGGUCUUUCUGUCACACGGUUUAACUUUUUUUUUUUCCUCCUUUCUUUUGUCGUCCCUGUCGCGUUGAUGUCGACGGCGUGAGAGUUCCCGGGACACAAAAAGAAGGGAGAGAUUUUCAUGUACAAUACACCUCCAUUUUCGUGCCCAACAGCUUUUCACCUUUCCUGGAUUUACAGUUGAGGAAAUUCCGCCUCCUUUACACAAGUUCGCCAUUUUCUUCACUACAGCCCCUAGUGGCAAGAGCACACAAAAAAUGAAUGGAUUUACAGAGAAUUGAGCCAUCAUUGGGCAAGUAUUGCGUAUUACUCGGUCGUCACAUAUUAAAAUUCUGUCGGUUUCGGUGGGAAACCUAAUACGCAGCAGCCAACGAAUAUCCAAGCCAGAAAGGGAUCCUACGUCGCGGUUAAGCAACCAACCCAAUCACACACUGCUAACGAGAAAAGAGAUCCGUAAGGAAAUAAAGCCAGCUGGAAAAACCCCGACUAAGAGGCUUUAUGCAUUUACGUGGUAAGAAUUAAGGCUGUCCAGAUUUUUGGGGAGAAGCACGUGUACCUGGGCUACGCGGUAAACGAUUCAUUUCUAUGCUCGAUGGCUUUUGAUGUCCUAGUCAAAGGUGCAUGACCGCUAGCCACGCCAUUUUUCUCUGCUCUCGCGCGCCAGAUGAAAAACAGCCAGUCCUUAAUAUGAUAAAGCACCUCUUUAAUGUAUUUAAAAGCGAAGGGAAAAUAGAAAUGCUUAAGAGAUGAAAUGAGGAAGGAAAAAAAUUGUGAGAUACUCACAC
Long non-coding RNA from Daphnia magna, 855 nucleotides. RefSeq lists it as uncharacterized. NCBI's taxonomy places the organism in Eukaryota, Metazoa, Arthropoda, Branchiopoda, Diplostraca, Daphniidae. The record is from RefSeq and is a predicted model, not a curated record. The transcript is spliced from 3 exons.